GACGAACGCUAGCGGCAGGCCUCACACAUGCAAGUCGAACGAGUGGCGGACGGGUGAGUAAUGUCUGGGAAACUGCCCGAUGGAGGGGGAUAACUACUGGAAACGGUCGCUAAUACCGCAUACCAUCGGAUGUGCCCAGAGGGGAUUAGCUAGUAGGUGGGGUAACGGCUCACCUAGGCGACGAUCCCUAGCUGGUCUGAGAGGAUGACCAGCCACACUGGAACGGAGACACGGUCCAGACGCCUACGGGAGGCAGCAGUGGGGAAUAUUGCACAAUGGGCGCAAGCCUGAUGCAGCCAUGCCGCGUGUAUGAAGAAGGCCUUCGGGUUGUAAAGUACUUUCAGCGAGGAGGCGUUACUCGCAGAAGAAGCACCGGCUAACUCCGUGCCAGCAGCCGCGGUAAUAC
This 406-nucleotide ribosomal RNA is filed under the name uncultured bacterium. Its description in RNAcentral is "partial 16S ribosomal RNA". It matches the Rfam family "Bacterial small subunit ribosomal RNA", at positions 28 to 526 of the family's 1533-position model. The record is from RNAcentral.